RNAcentral lists this long non-coding RNA (1309 nucleotides) under Coturnix japonica (Japanese quail). RNAcentral describes it as "lncRNA (ENSCJPG00005001733.1)". The record is from RNAcentral. Lineage: Eukaryota; Metazoa; Chordata; Aves; Galliformes; Phasianidae.
AUGGAACCCAAUGGCGGGGACAUAGAACCCAAUGGGGGGGAUAGGAACCCAAUGGGGGUCCCAAACCCACGAUGGGGGCAAUACAAACACUAUGAGGCGGUCCCAAACCCAAUGGGGGGCAAUAACAAACACUUAUGGGGGGUCCCAAACCCAAUGGGGGGACAUGACCCAUGGGGUUGAUAGGAACCCAAUGGGGGGAUCAGGAACCCAAUGGGGGGAUAGGAACCAAUGGGGCGCAUAGAAACCUAGGGGGGACUAGGAACACAAUGGGGGGGAUAGGAACCCAAUGGGGGGACAUGGAACCCAAUGGGGGGGUCCCAAACCCAAUGGGGGGACAUGGAACCCAAUGGGGGGACAUAGAACCCAAUGGGGGGACGUGGAACCCAAUGGGGGGGAUAGGAACACAAUGGGGGGCAAUAGAACCCAAUGGGGGGGAUAGGAACCCAAUGGGGGGCAAUAGAACCCAAUGGGAGGGAUAGGAACCCAGUGGGGGGCAAUAGAACACUAUGGGGGGGAUAGGAACCCAAUGGGGGGGUCCCAAACCCAAUGGGGGGCAAUAGAACCCAAUGGGGGGGAUAGGAACCCAAUGGGGGUCAAUAGAACACUAUGGGGAGGAUAGGAACACAAUGGGGGGACAUGGAACCCAAUGGGAGGGAUAGGAACCCAAUGGGGGGCAAUAGAACACUAUGGGGAGGAUAGGAACCCAAUGGGGGGACAUGGAACCCAAUGGGGGGCAAUAGAACACUAUGGGGGGGAUAAGAACCCAAUGGGGGGCAAUAGAACACUAUGGGGAGGAUAGGAACCCAAUGGGGGGACAUGGAACCCAAUGGGGGGAUCCCAAACCCAAUGGGGUAGCACGGGACCAGCCUCAUGAACUACCUGAGGAUGGUACGGGGUCAUUGGGGUCCAUACAACACUAUGGGGGGCAUAGGGACCCCAUAGCAGUGGGGGACAAUGGGGGGCAAUAGAACCCAAGGGGGGGACAUGGAACCCAAUGGGGGGACAUGGAACCCAAUGGGGGGGAUAGGAACCCAAUGGGGGGCAAUAGAAACCCAAGGGGGGGAUAGGAACCCAAUGAGGGGGUCCCAAACCCAAUGGGGGGACAUGGAACCCAAUGGGGGGGUCCCAAACCCAAUGGGGCAGCACGGGACCAGCCUCAUGAACUACCUGAGGAUGGUGGGUGUCUGGCACUCCAACCGCACUCUGGCCAUGGACGCCGCCUCGUUGUCCCUCAACGCGUCCGACAGCCUGGCCAACAAGACCCUCAUCGUCACCACCAUCCUGGUGAGAUACUGGGGGUCUAUGGGGG